Helicoverpa zea (corn earworm) is the source of this 1467-nucleotide long non-coding RNA. RefSeq lists it as uncharacterized. The record is from RefSeq and is a predicted model, not a curated record. NCBI's taxonomy places the organism in Eukaryota, Metazoa, Arthropoda, Insecta, Lepidoptera, Noctuidae. The transcript has 2 exons.
UUCACAUGUUUUGACAUCUGCUGUCAUUGAAGGUCGAGCGUGUGUCUGCAAUUUCAAUUGCAUCAGAUUCGGUAAUUUUACAAUAAAAUGGGAAACGCAAGUGCUAAGGCUGCGGAUGUAAAAGUCGUGGAGCCGCCGGCACCGGCGAAUGCUGAGAAACCCAAGCUAAAGCCGUGCUGUGCUUGCCCAGAAACCAAGAGAGCGCGAGAUGCAUGCAUUAUUGAGAAUGGUGAGGAGAACUGCGGCCCCCUGAUCGAGGAACAUAAAGCCUGCAUGAGAAAGAUGGGUUUCAAUAUCUAAGAAAUGAGACUGGACGCGACUUAGUACCUAAUUAAGAUUACCUUACAUAGUUCUAAUUAAAUUAUUCUCUGAUCAUGUAGAUCAUGUGAAUCUUUAGUCAAGAAUGUUUAACAAGUCAAAGUCAAAUGUUUUUAUUUCAAAUAGGCCUUUGCAAGCUCUUAUGAGACGUCACACUAGUUGUAUGGUUCCAAAAAGUUGGUCGCACGGAGAAGAUCCGAUGAGAAACUCCAUGGACACUCCUUUUUAAGAAAGUUUCACUUGGCCUUCCCCAAGUUGAGGCAAUUUUCUUACCCAUACUCACCACGCUGGGCAUGCAUUUUGAUGAAACAUGAUAGAUACAUGUUUCUCCACUAUCACACCUGAACCACUAUCAACUGAUGGUUCAAAUAUGGAACAUACUUGCCUCGUAAACGAAUAAGGUUACAUUUGUACUACAAUCUGCCAAAGUAAAAUCUGUCUACAACUACAGAUGACUGUUCAAGAUAGAGAUGUGGAAACUUCUUAGAGCCCUAUGUGCCUGAUACAUGAGUUUUCUAAACAUAUUGAUUGUUUUGAGAGUUAUUAUAUUGCCGUCACAUGCAAACAUUAUAAUUUCAUGAAGACAAACUUCACUCUUUAGAAAUUAAAAGUGAAUUUUUAUAUUUUGUUUAAUGAAAGAGUUGCUCAGUAACCUUUACCUGAAUAAUUUACUUAGAAUUGUGUAACAACGGUAGGACAUUAAAAAUCAUUUUAAAGUCACUUGACAUUAAAACCUUCAUAGUGAGAUGAAAUGUAGACAUUUUUGCUUUAACUUUAUGAUAUUGUUAUGAUUUAACAAUAUUUAGUAUUUGGUUAGAUUUUAAUAAUGUGUGAAUGAGUAUCAUCAGGAAUGCAUUUUCAUGUUGAAUAAGUUUUCAGUCACCGUACUUAACAUUUCUUAAAAAAAAAAUACAUGUGGAUGCGAGCUACUUUAAUUUAUGGUUAGUUGGAUGGAUCUGCCAAAGAUAUAUAUUUCCUUCUUUUUAAUGCAAACCACAAUUAAUAAUAAUCAUAUUUAUGAAAAGCGCAGUGAAAAACAUUUGUGUAAAAUCAAAACUACACAAAGAUCUGUACUGUAUGACUGCAAUGAGAUGUCAUCUAUUUAUUUUUAGUAGUAAUAUAAUAUUGUAAAUAAAAAAUUGUUAAACA